AACGAACGCUGGCGGCAGGCCUAACACAUGCAAGUCGAGCGCGCCCUUCGGGGUGAGCGGCGGACGGGUGAGUAACGCGUGGGAACGUGCCCUUUUCUACGGAAUAGCCUCGGGAAACUGAGAGUAAUACCGUAUACGCCCUUUGGGGGAAAGAUUUAUCGGAAAAGGAUCGGCCCGCGUUGGAUUAGGUAGUUGGUGGGGUAAUGGCCUACCAAGCCGACGAUCCAUAGCUGGUUUGAGAGGAUGAUCAGCCACACUGGGACUGAGACACGGCCCAGACCCCUACGGGAGGCAGCAGUGGGGAAUCUUAGACAAUGGGGGCAACCCUGAUCUAGCCAUGCCGCGUGAGUGAUGAAGGCCUUAGGGUUGUAAAGCUCUUUCAGCUGGGAAGAUAAUGACGGUACCAGCAGAAGAAGCCCCGGCUAACUCCGUG
RNAcentral lists this ribosomal RNA (433 nucleotides) under uncultured bacterium. RNAcentral's name for it is "partial 16S ribosomal RNA". It matches the Rfam family "Bacterial small subunit ribosomal RNA", at positions 29 to 507 of the family's 1533-position model. The record is from RNAcentral.